GCACUGUGACGGCGUGCCUUUUGCAUAAUGAGCCUACGAGUUGCCGUUACUGGCAAGGUUAAGUCUUUAAGGGACGGAGCCGGAGCGAAAGCGAGUCUUAAUAGGGCGCCAUAGUCAGUAGUGGCAGACGCGAAACCGUGUGAUCUACCCAUGGGCAGGGUGAAGCUGUGGUAACACAUAGUGGAGGCCCGAACCCGUUGACGUUGAAAAGUCUUGGGAUGACCUGUGGGUAGGGGUGAAAGGCCAAUCAAACUCGGAAAUAGCU
Molecule: ribosomal RNA, 265 nt
Filed under: Prasinoderma coloniale
Lineage: Eukaryota; Viridiplantae; Prasinodermophyta; Prasinodermophyceae; Prasinodermales; Prasinodermaceae
Description: partial Bacterial large subunit ribosomal RNA
Rfam family: Bacterial large subunit ribosomal RNA
Source: RNAcentral